RNAcentral lists this ribosomal RNA (503 nucleotides) under uncultured Pseudomonadota bacterium. RNAcentral's name for it is "bacterial SSU rRNA". It matches the Rfam family "Bacterial small subunit ribosomal RNA", at positions 9 to 507 of the family's 1533-position model. Lineage: Bacteria; Pseudomonadati; Pseudomonadota. The record is from RNAcentral.
GAGUUUGAUCAUGGCUCAGAUUGAACGCUGGCGGCAUGCUUUACACAUGCAAGUCGAACGGCAGCGGGGGCUUCGGUCCGCCGGCGAGUGGCGAACGGGUGAGUAAUGCAUCGGAACGUACCCAGUCGUGGGGGAUAACGCAGCGAAAGCUGUGCUAAUACCGCAUACGUCCUGAGGGAGAAAGCGGGGGACCUUCGGGCCUCGCGCGAUUGGAGCGGCCGAUGUCGGAUUAGCUAGUUGGUGGGGUAAAGGCUCACCAAGGCGACGAUCCGUAGCUGGUCUGAGAGGAUGAUCAGCCACACUGGGACUGAGACACGGCCCAGACUCCUACGGGAGGCAGCAGUGGGGAAUUUUGGACAAUGGGGGCAACCCUGAUCCAGCCAUGCCGCGUGAGUGAAGAAGGCCUUCGGGUUGUAAAGCUCUUUCAGUCGGGAAGAAACGGAGCGCUCUAACAUAGCGCUCUACUGACGGUACCGACAGAAGAAGCACCGGCUAACUACGUG